Ornithorhynchus anatinus (platypus) is the source of this 146-nucleotide non-coding RNA. Lineage: Eukaryota; Metazoa; Chordata; Mammalia; Monotremata; Ornithorhynchidae. The record is from Rfam.
UCCCUCUCGGGAUCACACCUGGAGAGUUUCCAGUACUCGACCAGUCUCGGCUACAGGAGGGAGAGUCAAGCAGGGGCAGAACCAUUCCAUCAUUCCAUUGCUAGCUUGGUCAGUGGCUAGAGAGUGGAAGGCAAUCUGCUACAAGU